UAUUCAACAACUAGGUUUACAGCUUUAUACAACCAUUCGGUCAAUGAGAUCCUAAACUAUUGCCUACAAGCAAGGCUUGAUCAUAAACUAAAUAGGAAAGGAAAUAACUACAAUAUCAAUUUACAAUGUUGACUAAGUAAUAGAGAUAUUUUCCUUAACACUCCUCCUCAAGUUGGAGUGUAUGUUAAUGACACCCAACUUGCCAAGUAGAACUUCGAACUGUGUUGAACUCAACGGCUUAGUGAAGAUAUCAGCUGGUUGAUCAUUGGUCCGUAUGUAAGCCGUGCGUAUCAUUCCUUCUUGAACCUUCUCUCGUACUAGAUGACAAUCGAUUUCUAUGUGCUUCGUUCGUUCAUGAAAAACAGGAUUUGAAACAAUGUGUAAUGCUGCUUGAUUGUCACAAAACAACUUGACUGGCUGAGAAUGGUUCACUCUUAGGUCCUUCAAAAUAUUCUUCAGCCAUAUGAUUUCACAACAUGUGGUGGCCAUGGAACGGUAUUCAGCCUCUGCACUCGAACGAGAUAUUGUUGUUUGUUUCUUAGUUUUCCAAGAAAUAGGUGCGUGACCGAGCAAACAGUACCCCGUUAUCGACCUUCUAGUAUCUUGACAUCUAGCCCAAUCAGCAUCACAAAAUGCUUGUAAUUGCAAUGAGCCUGUGGAAGGAAGAAAAAUCCCUUGUCCAGGUGCUUGUUUAAUGUACUUGAGGACCUUGUGCGCAGCAUCAAGGUGUGGUUGCCGAGGUUUCUCCAUGAACUGACUUAGCAUGUGAACAGCAUAAGCCAAGUCAGGCCUUGUUAUGGUCAAGUAUAUUAACCUCCCCACAAGUCGUCUAUACGAUGAAGGAUCAUUCAGCUCAUUUCCUUCCAUUUGUGUGUAUGACAAAUUUUGAUCCACAGGGAACCGAGAAGGCUUAACGCCUAGAAACCCAGCAUCUUCCAAUAUUUCGAUAGCAUAUUUACAUUGACAUAUAGUAAUUCCAUGCUUUGAUCGUGCAACUUCUAUUCCUAAGAAAUAUUUGAGUUGCCCCAAGUCUUUCAGUUUGAAACGCUGAGAGAGGAACUGCUUGGUUUCUUCAAUUUCAUGCAGAUUAUUCCCUGAUAAUAUCACAUCAUCAACAUAUACUAGUAAAGCAAUGAAGUUACCAUGACGACUUCGGACGAAUAGUGAAUAGUCGGACCGUGAUUGAUGAAAUCCAGCAGUCUUCAGAGCAUGAGAUAACUUAAUGAACCAUUGCCUUGAAGCUUGCUUUAAACCGUAGAGGGAUUUAUUCAACUUGCAUACUCAAGUCUCCCCCUUUCGUCCGAAACCAGGAGGCAAGGUCAUGUAGACAUCCUCGUCAAGAUCACCAUUUAAGAAAGCAUUGUUGACAUCCAGCUAAUGAAGAUGCCAACCUUGCACAGCGGCGACACUGAGGAGCACACGAACUGUGGUUAACUUGGCGACAGGAGCAAAGGUUUCUCGAUAAUCAACACCUUCAAUUUGACCGUAACCUUUGGCAACGAGGCGGGCUUUGUACCGGUCAAUGGUGCCAUCAGGUUUGAGUUUGAUCUUGUAAACCCAUUUACAACCAAUGGGACGUUUGUGCAGCGGCAAAGUCACGAGGGUCCAGGUAUGAUUGGCUUGAAGGGCAGCAAUUUCAUGUUGCAUGGCAUCACGCCAGUGUGGAUCAUGGAUAGCCUGUGAAAAACUGGUAGGUUCUCUGAGGAGGGAAAGAUUAGUGGUAUAUGCUUUAUGGUGAGAAGAGAGUCGAUCGUAGGACAAAUAAGUGGAGAGAGGGUGAGAAGUACCUGAUGAGGAAAGAGCCACGUUCGUAAAAGAUGUGGGAGCAGGCCUGGACAGGAGAUCAACCUCGACAUGAAAGUCCUGCAAAAAAGAAGAGGGUUUGGUGGGGCGUGUGCUACGUCGUGGUGGAGUGGGUGGGGCUGGGGAGGGAGAGGGUAGGAUUAUGGUGUCUGGAGAUGGUGCAUGUGGUGGUGUAGAAGGUGGGGAAGGAGAAGAAGGUGUGUGGGGGGGGUGAAGGCGCGGAUGACGGGGAAAGAGGCGCGGAUAGUGUGUGGGAGGUGGAGAGGUCAGUGGAGAGGGUGGGUAGUAGUGGUCGCGGGACAGGGAAGGGAUCUGCAACAAGGGGAGAUAAGGAGUGGUUUGGGAUGGUGGACUGUGGUUGAGCAGCGGAAGUGUCAGAAUGAUAAGGGAAAUGGUUUUCGAAAAAGAGCACGUCCCGUGAGACAAAAAUUUUGUUAAGAUGAAAAUCGAAAAGUCGAUAACCCUUUUGGCCAUAUGGGUACCCAAGAAAAACACAACGACGAGCACGGGGAUCAAAUUUGGAAGGUUUAUAUGCGUGAGUGGAAGCAAAACACAAGCAACCAAAAACACGUAAGUGGAAGUAACUGGGUGCUGUUUAGAACAACAUUUCAUAAGGUGUCUUCCCUUGGAGAAGAGGUGUGGGUGUGCGGUUGAUGAGAUAGGCUGAAGUGAGUAUGGCGUCCCCCCAAAAACGUUUUGGCAUGUUGGCUUGAAAGAGUAAAGCUCGGGCAACAUUUAAUAAAUGUCGAUGCUUACAUUCAGCAACACCAUUUUGCUGGGGUGUGUGCACGCAGCUGGUUUGAUGGACAAUACAUUUCGUUGCAUAAAAACUAUCAAGCUUAAACUCGGGACCAUUAUCACUACAAAUGAUUUUGACUUUGGUAUUAAAUUGGGUUUCGACCAAAUGAACAAAUUGCACAAGAAGCUGCUGUGUGUCAGAUUUAUAUUUCAUUAGGUAAAUCCAGGUGCUCCGAGUGUAAUCAUCAACGAUAAUGAGAAAAUAUUUUGCACCAGAAAUAGAGGGAACGUGAUACCCCCCCCCCCCCCAAAUAUCAACAUGUAUCAAUUCAAAACAAGAUUUAGUGGAUAUGGAACUCAGGGAAAAUGGUGCUCUUGUUUGCUUGGCUAAAGGACAAAUGACACACUUAUUUGAAUCACAAAAACUUGGUUUUAAAAAAGGAAAUGACAUGGAAACAGUUUUGGAUGGAUGGUCGAGGCGUUGAUGUUAAAGAUGAUGGUUGGUUGUGCUAAUGGUGUUGCAUGUUCCUUUCUUUGAUGGGUCGAGAUAGUAGAGGCCCCCCCAUUCAAUUCCCGUCCCAAUCAUCUUCCCCGAGCGUAAGUCUUGUAUGACACAAAACUGUUUUAGGAAGAUGGUAAUAUAAAGGGAAUCAUAUGCGAGUUUGCUAAUGGAUAUCAGAUUUAAGGUAAAGAAUGGGACACACAAAACAUUAUCAAGCACAAGUGUGGGAGAGAAUACCACUUGUCCAAUGUGAGUGACCGUGGCAAGGGAACCAUUGGGGAGUUCAACAGUGUGAUUUGUAACUGGCCUCGAUGAUGUGAGAUAAUGAGGACUGCAAACAACGUGGUUCGUUGCACCACUAUCCAAGAUCUAAACAUUUUUAAUGCCAUUCUGCAUGAAGGAAAAUGUUUUACCUGAGAGUUCUUCAUUAGUCGAAGAGUUACCCACGUGAUUUGCAAAUGAGGAACGAUUUUUGUUUUAACAUGGCAAGGAUCUGCUUACAAUCUUCUUGGGAAAAGGGAAAGCUUGGCAUCCCAUCUCUCUUGUCAUGCACGGCAACUUGAUUUCCCUUGGAAGUUGAUGAACGGCUUUGUUCAGUUUCAGCAGCUGCUUUGCAUUUGCGGCAAUAUUCGAAGGUAUGACCCUUCCAACCACAGAAAGUGCAUUGAGAUGGGCACGACAAUUUUUGGUGCUAUGGUUCGUCUUGUUACAUUUGCCACAGCGAGGACCACCAUCCUCGGUUUCAAGCUCGCGUCCACCAUGCUUUACAGCAAAAGCUGCUGCUUCAGGUUGAGGGGUAUUCUUUCCAUUUGAAACUUCCGCCUGCUUCUCAUGGCGAAGAACAAGAGAGUAAGCUUUGUUCACUGUGGGAAAAGGCUCAAGAAGAAGGAUAUUACUACGGUCAGUGGAAAAGGAAUCACUUAAACCCAUGAGAAAUUUCAUUGUUUUCUGGGUCUCAACAUAAGAGAUGAUUUCCUUCUUUGUAUCGCAGCUACAUGCAGGAAUAGAACACAGUACAUCACGCUCGUCCCACAAGCCUUUUAGUUUGGUAAAGUAUGAACUCACCGGCAUGUUACCUUGCACACAAUCAUGGAUCUCGUUUUCUACAUGAAACAAUUGAACGAUAUUUGCAUGAGAAAACCGUUCUUGUAAAUCAAGCCACAUCUGCCUUGCAUCCUUGCAGUUGAUGACGCUGCUUGAGAUUUCUUUUGACAUGGAUCCUAAGAGCCAUGUUUUAACCAGAUUAUUGCAGCGAUUCCAUUGCUGCAAUCCUUCAUGUUCAUCUUCACUCGGCUUCUUGAUAGUCCCAUCAACAAGCCCUAAUUUGUUCUUGAUCGUUAAGGCCAUGGUCAUGGAUUGAAUCCAUGUACUGUAAUUGUCUUCCACCAAUGGCUGCGACACAAGUACUGCACCAGGUUGAUCUGAAUGAUGGAGAUAAAGUGGGUGGUUAGGACUCUCCCACUUUAGAUGUGAAGUCAUGCUCGAGGAAGUUGACUUCGUGUCUGUGUUAUCACCCAUGGCUAUGGUUUGCUAGGGUUGUUUUGGUGUUUGUGUGUUUGCUGUUUAUUUUCCCAGAUAUCAAUCACUCUGGUACCAUCAUAAUAAUCACAUAAUGGGAUUAUAAUAUUCUAUUCAUAUUCAACAACUAGGUUUACAGCUUUAUACAACCAUUCGGUCAAUGAGAUCCUAAACUAUUGCCUACAAGCAAGGCUUGAUUAGAAACUAAAUAGGAAAGGAAAUAACUACAAUAUCAAUUUACAAUGUUGACUAAGUAAUAGAGAUAUUUUCCUUAACAAAAAGCAUUGGAAAGUAAGACAAACUGGUUGUCUUUUUCUGAUUGUUGAGAAAGUCUUUGUUUGUCCUUUCUCCCUUGUCUCUCUCCUUCGCCCCCUUCCUAUUCGCUUGAUUCCUUCCAUCUUUGAUCGUCCUUCUACGUAUGUCUGACUUUUACAUUCAAAGAUGUUGUCUGCACCCCCAUAUCCAAAAUGCUGCUGCUAAACUUGUCCAUGUCGAAACUAAAAUAUUGCCCGGCGCGGGGGCAUUCUAUGUUAUAUACCUGCCUAUAGUUCUUGGAAUAUAAGAUAUAUGCAUAUUUGGGAACGUUACAUUAAUUGUUGGUAGAUUAAAAGGUCUCUACUUUUUUCAAGCCAAUGAUGGAUAAUAAACUUUGCUAGGUCAAACAUUAGCAAGAUAUGAACAGGGGUUGCCCAAUGGUUGAGAACAAAUUCGAGGCCUGUAUUUCACAUGGCACGUUCUGGGUUUGAUUCCUAAUGUUGGUGAAUCACACGGUGGUGGCCAGGAGAAGCUGAAAUGCCCUUGUGGGUCUUCCUGAAAAGAUGGAUCAUCGUGACGAAACAACCUACUGGUCCGCGAGGGUAGAUGAGUUCUUAUUAAUAACGUCGAGUUUACAUUAUACAAAGGUUCAAAC
RNAcentral lists this long non-coding RNA (5471 nucleotides) under Malus domestica (apple). RNAcentral's name for it is "long non-coding RNA (MDOM_LNC014391)". Lineage: Eukaryota; Viridiplantae; Streptophyta; Magnoliopsida; Rosales; Rosaceae. The record is from RNAcentral.